UACGAAGGGGGCUAGCGUUGUUCGGAAUUACUGGGCGUAAAGCGCGUGUAGGCGGGUCUUUAAGUCAGGGGUGAAAUGCCAGGGCUCAACCUUGGAACUGCCUUUGAUACUGGAGACCUUGAGGACCAGAGAGGGACAUAGAAUUCCGGGUGGAGUGGUGAAAUGCGUAGAUAUCCGGAGGAAUACCAAAGGCGAAGGCAGUGUCCUGGGCCACCUCUGACGCUGAUACGCGAAGGCGUGGGGAGCGAACGGG
This 253-nucleotide ribosomal RNA is filed under the name uncultured bacterium. Its description in RNAcentral is "partial 16S ribosomal RNA". It matches the Rfam family "Bacterial small subunit ribosomal RNA", at positions 524 to 776 of the family's 1533-position model. The record is from RNAcentral.